RNAcentral lists this ribosomal RNA (429 nucleotides) under Acidobacteriota bacterium. Its description in RNAcentral is "Acidobacteria bacterium partial 16S ribosomal RNA". It matches the Rfam family "Bacterial small subunit ribosomal RNA", at positions 355 to 776 of the family's 1533-position model. The record is from RNAcentral. Lineage: Bacteria; Pseudomonadati; Acidobacteriota.
UGGGGAAUUUUGGACAAUGGGGGAAACCCUGAUCCAGCCAUCCCGCGUGUGCGAUGAAGGCCUUCGGGUUGUAAAGCACUUUUGGCAGGAAAGAAACGUCAUGGGUUAAUACCCCGUGAAACUGACGGUACCUGCAGAAUAAGCACCGGCUAACUACGUGCCAGCAGCCGCGGUAAUACGUAGGGUGCAAGCGUUAAUCGGAAUUACUGGGCGUAAAGCGUGCGCAGGCGGUUCGGAAAGAAAGAUGUGAAAUCCCAGAGCUCAACUUUGGAACUGCAUUUUCAACUACCGGGCUAGAGUGUGUCAGAGGGAGGUGGAAUUCCGCGUGUAGCAGUGAAAUGCGUAGAUAUGCGGAGGAACACCGAUGGUGAAGGCAGCCUCCUGGGAUAACACUGACGCUCAUGCACGAAAGCGUGGGGAGCAAACAGG